Molecule: ribosomal RNA, 484 nt
Filed under: uncultured bacterium
Lineage: Bacteria
Description: partial 16S ribosomal RNA
Rfam family: Bacterial small subunit ribosomal RNA
Source: RNAcentral
AUUGAACGCUGGCGGCAGGCCUAACACAUGCAAGUCGAGCGGAUGAAGGGAGCUUGCUCCUGGAUUCAGCGGCGGACGGGUGAGUAAUGCCUAGGAAGCUGCCUGGUAGUGGGGGAUAACGUCCGGAAACGGGCGCUAAUACCGCAUACGUCCUGAGGGAGAAAGUGGGGGAUCUUCGGACCUCACGCUAUCAGAUGAGCCUAGGCCGGAUUAGCUAGUUGGUAAGGUAACGGCUUACCAAGGCGACGAUGCAUAGCUGACCUGAGAGGAUGAGCGGCCACACGGGAACUGAGACACGGUCCAGACUCCCACGGGAGGCAGCAGUAGGGAAUCUUCCGCAAUGGGCGAAAGCCUGACGGAGCAACGCCGCGUGAGUGAUGAAGGUCUUCGGAUCGUAAAACUCUGUUAUUAGGGAAGAACAUAUGUGUAAGUAACUGUGCACAUCUUGACGGUACCUAAUCAGAAAGCCACGGCUAACUACGUG